UUAAAAUUUUCAAUUAAAAUCUUUCAGAAAGAUAUCGUUGGCGACAAAAAAUUGUGGAUUAAUGUUCCUAUUUGCCGACAAUCUAUUCUUCAGCAAUGGUUCCCCUCUCGCUAACAUAGAUACCAUCAAGGAACUUCCGGAUAUCUUUCUUCUUAACAUGACAUUUCUACCUGGUUAAUAAGGGCACAAGAUCUGGAGACAAGCUCAAUGUCAUUUCCGUCCAAAAUCAACUCAUCCUUCACCUUUUCAGAUCGAAGGAUAGUGACUCCGUUAAGCAUUUCAACUUUUCUC
RNAcentral lists this long non-coding RNA (291 nucleotides) under Medicago truncatula (barrel medic). Its description in RNAcentral is "lncRNA gene31770". The record is from RNAcentral. Lineage: Eukaryota; Viridiplantae; Streptophyta; Magnoliopsida; Fabales; Fabaceae.